AACGAACGCUGGCGGCGUGUCUUAAGCAUGCAAGUCGUGCGGCAAGGGCAGCAAUGCCCCCUAGAGCGGCGGACUGGUGAGUAAACGCGUGGGUGAUCUGCCCUUGGGAUGGGGGAUAGCCACUAGAAAUAGUGGGUAAUACCGAAUACGUUCCCCCCGAUGUGGUUGGGGGAGGAAAAGCGCUUCGGCGCUGCCCGAGGAUGAGCCCGCGUCCCAUUAGCUAGUUGGCGGGGUAAAGCCCACCAAGGCGAUGAUGGGUAGGCGGCCUGAGAGGGUG
This 277-nucleotide ribosomal RNA is filed under the name uncultured bacterium. Its description in RNAcentral is "partial 16S ribosomal RNA". It matches the Rfam family "Bacterial small subunit ribosomal RNA", at positions 28 to 302 of the family's 1533-position model. The record is from RNAcentral.